Monascus purpureus is the source of this 86-nucleotide non-coding RNA. The record is from the annotation of a GenBank genome assembly. NCBI's taxonomy places the organism in Eukaryota, Fungi, Ascomycota, Eurotiomycetes, Eurotiales, Aspergillaceae.
UCCCGCGUGGUGUAGUGGCUAACAUCGCCGUCUCUCAUUGGUUCAAAUGAACACGGCAGCCGGGGGUUCGAUUCCCCCCACGGGAA